AAAUUCAUAAUGCAACACCGCCGUAUAAUUUUGGGAAUAGGGCCCAUGAGUUUCUACCAGACUGCCGUAAAUUAGUCUGACUACGUUGGUGAAUAGAUGAUGG
RNAcentral lists this non-coding RNA (103 nucleotides) under Halobacillus karajensis. Its description in RNAcentral is "Guanine sequence". It matches the Rfam family "Purine riboswitch aptamer". Rfam says of the family: Riboswitches are metabolite binding domains within certain messenger RNAs that serve as precision sensors for their corresponding targets. Lineage: Bacteria; Bacillati; Bacillota; Bacilli; Caryophanales; Bacillaceae. The record is from Rfam by way of RNAcentral.